Long non-coding RNA from Gallus gallus (chicken), 574 nucleotides. RefSeq lists it as uncharacterized. NCBI's taxonomy places the organism in Eukaryota, Metazoa, Chordata, Aves, Galliformes, Phasianidae. The transcript is spliced from 2 exons. The record is from RefSeq and is a predicted model, not a curated record.
GCCCGCCUCCCGCCCGCCCCUGUGUGCCGGGUCGGCGUGGGUGCCGUCUUCAGCAUAUCGGUCUGAAACUGCUAAGCUGGAAAUAACUAGAGGACGGCAAUCUGCUGUCAUGAAGAGAAAGACUGCUCCCUUCAUCUCCGAGGGUCUUGAGACCCCCAGUCAAAAUCAGUUACAAGAUUGUCCCCCCUCUGCUCUGACCUCAUGGGACUGCAUCUACGGCACUGUGUCCAGGCCUGGGAACCUCAGCACAAGGAUGUGGAGCUAUCAGUGGGUCCAGAGGAGGCCACAGAGAUGCUCAGAGGGCUGGAGCAUCACUCCUGUGAAGAAAGGCUGAGGGAGCUGGCCUUGUUCAACCUGGAGAAUGGAAGGCUCCAAGGAGACCUCACUGCGACCUUCCAGUACUUGUCAGAAGCUUAAACAGGAGGGAGACUGCCAUUCAACACGGUCUGACAGUUAUAUGACAAAGAGGAAUGGUUUUGAACUUAAAGAGAGGAGAUUUAGGUUGGAUGUUAGGCAGAAAUUAGAUUCAAUUCAAAUGUCAUCUACAGAGCAGAAAUAAAGGGUUGGAAGCUUU